GUGAGGAAUAUUGGUCAAUGGGCGCAAGCCUGAACCAGCCAUCCCGCGUGCAGGAAGACGGCCCUAUGGGUUGUAAACUGCUUUUCCGGGGGGAGAAUUUUUCCGUCGUGACGGGAAUUGACGGUACCCCGGGAAUAAGCAUCGGCUAACUCCGUGCCAGCAGCCGCGGUAAUACGGAGGAUGCGAGCGUUAUCCGGAUUUAUUGGGUUUAAAGGGUGCGUAGGCGGAAUGAUAAGUCAGUGGUGAAAACCUGCAGCUUAACUGUAGACUUGCCGUUGAUACUGUCAGUCUUGAGUGUGGUCAAGGUAGGCGGAAUGUGUAAUGUAGCGGUGAAAUGCUUAGAUAUUACACAGAACACCGAUUGCGAAGGCAGCUUACUGGGCCAUUACUGACGCUGAUGCACGAAAGCGUGGGGAUCGAACAGGAUUAGAAACCCGGGUAGUCC
Molecule: ribosomal RNA, 445 nt
Filed under: uncultured bacterium
Lineage: Bacteria
Description: partial 16S ribosomal RNA
Rfam family: Bacterial small subunit ribosomal RNA
Source: RNAcentral